Molecule: ribosomal RNA, 423 nt
Filed under: uncultured Gryllotalpicola sp.
Lineage: Bacteria; Bacillati; Actinomycetota; Actinomycetes; Micrococcales; Microbacteriaceae
Description: bacterial SSU rRNA
Rfam family: Bacterial small subunit ribosomal RNA
Source: RNAcentral
CAGCAGUGGGGAAUAUUGCACAAUGGGCGAAAGCCUGAUGCAGCAACGCCGCGUGAGGGAUGACGGCCUUCGGGUUGUAAACCUCUUUUGGCAGGGAAGAAGCCGUAAGGUGACGGUACCUGCAGAAAAAGGACCGGCUAACUACGUGCCAGCAGCCGCGGUAAUACGUAGGGUCCGAGCGUUGUCCGGAAUUAUUGGGCGUAAAGAGCUCGUAGGCGGUUCGUCGCGUCUGCCGUGAAAUCCUCAGGCUCAACCUGAGGCGUGCGGUGGGUACGGGCGGACUAGAGUGCGGUAGGGGAGAAUGGAACUCCUGGUGUAGCGGUGGAAUGCGCAGAUAUCAGGAAGAACACCGAUGGCGAAGGCAGUUCUCUGGGCCGUAACUGACGCUGAGGAGCGAAAGCGUGGGGAGCGAACAGGAUUAGA